RNAcentral lists this unclassified non-coding RNA (320 nucleotides) under Hevea brasiliensis (rubber tree). The record is from RNAcentral. Lineage: Eukaryota; Viridiplantae; Streptophyta; Magnoliopsida; Malpighiales; Euphorbiaceae.
UCCAGUAAAAAUGCAAGAAGUUCCUACGGGAAAAUAAAUGGCUCCUCAUCAUUCAACACCAAGGAUACUCAACAAUUAUAAACAAACAGAAGACAAGGAAAAACAUGAAACUCAUCAUGUCCACAUAAGUAUGCUGUCUGAUUUGUUGGAACUAAACCACUAAAAGAAUUACCUCUACAUCAUAUAUCAUAUCAUAUGACAAAAUCAUGAGUUUCAAUAAGUAGCUCAAUAAAAAAUUCAAUAUAUAAAGUAUAAGUUCAAACUGAUACAGUAUGAAAUACAAGCAACAGCUAAGUGUGUUACUUUCCUCAUUCUUAAAA